Molecule: ribosomal RNA, 834 nt
Filed under: uncultured delta proteobacterium
Lineage: Bacteria; Deltaproteobacteria
Description: bacterial SSU rRNA
Rfam family: Bacterial small subunit ribosomal RNA
Source: RNAcentral
AAUCUAUCUCCGAAUUGGGGAUAACAUUGCGAAAGCGAUGCUAAUACCGGAUAAUAUCCAAUGAACUUCGGUUUUUUUGGAUCAAAGGUGGCCUCUACAUGUAAGCUACUGUUUGGAGACGAGCCCGCGUACCAUUAGCUUGUUGGUAGGGUAAUGGCCUACCAAGGCAACGAUGGUUAGCUGGUCUGAGAGGAUGAUCAGCCACACUGGAACUGACACACGGUCCAGACUCCUACGGGAGGCAGCAGUGAGGAAUUUUGCGCAAUGGGGGAAACCCUGACGCAGCAACGCCGCGUGAGUGAUGAAGGCUUUCGGGUCGUAAAGCUCUGUCAGGUGGGAAGAACCCGCGCCGCACAAAUAGUGCGGUGCGCUGACGGUACCACUGAAGGAAGCACCGGCUAACUCCGUGCCAGCAGCCGCGGUAAUACGGGGGGUGCAAGCGUUAUUCGGAAUCAUUGGGCGUAAAGAGCGCGUAGGCGGUCUUCUAUGUCAGGUGUGAAAGCCCGGGGCUCAACCCCGGAAGUGCACUUGAAACUGGGAGACUUGAGUAUGGGAGAGGGAAGUGGAAUUCCUGGUGUAGCGGUGAAAUGCGUAGAUAUCAGGAGGAACACCGGUGGCGAAGGCGACUUCCUGGACCAAUACUGACGCUGAGGCGCGAAGGCGUGGGGAGCAAACAGGAUUAGAUACCCUGGUAGUCCACGCAGUAAACGUUGAACACUGGUGUAGCGGGUAUUGACCCCUGCUGUGCCGCAGUUAACGCAUUGAGUGUUCCGCCUGGGGAGUACGACCGCAAGGUUAAAACUCAAGGAAUUGACGGGGGGCCCGCACAAGCGG